This 489-nucleotide long non-coding RNA is filed under the name Vulpes vulpes (red fox). Its description in RNAcentral is "lncRNA (ENSVVUG00000026648.1)". The record is from RNAcentral. Lineage: Eukaryota; Metazoa; Chordata; Mammalia; Carnivora; Canidae.
GUAGUCUUAUCGGUCAAAUCAUUGGUUGAGGGAGUAGUACUGAGUGACAAAGAAUUCAAGUCUGGAAAUCAGAAGACUAGAGCCUUACUGAUUGAAUGUUUCAUUUGAGGCAAUUUCCUGUCAGAGCUCGUCAGAGGCCAUUGAAAGUUCCCUGCAUGAGAGCAGAGUGUUCCAGGCUAUGCCUCAAGUCAGCCCAGCCUACAUCAGUAGAGAUUAUACCUCAAGGAAUUUCUGGAGUUGGAUUGAAAGAAGAUAUGCUCGAAUCCAUCCUUCCUGAUAAAGAUGUCCAGCAUCAUAGCAGUAAAGAGAUUUUGACAAAGUCCCAGUAACAGCCCUAACUUAGGUGAGAGCUAUCAGUGAGGAAUGAACAUGUUAGAGAUAAAACAUGUUAUCCAUUUUGAAGCUACGAUUUUACAGCAAUAGCCAGCAAACUUUCUCUGUAAAGGGCCACAUAAUAAAAAUGGAAGGCUUUGCUGACUAUGUGUUAUC